CUGGGAAUCUUGCGCAAUGGACGAAAGUCUGACGCAGCGACGCCGCGUGUGGGAAGAAGGCCUUCGGGUCGUAAACCACUGUGGUAGGGGAAUAACAAAUGAAGGUACCCUACUAGAAAGCACCUGCUAACCACGUGCCAGAAGCCUCGGUAAUACGUGGGGUGCAAGCGUUAUCCGGAUUUACUGGGCGUAAAGCGUUCUGUAGGCGGUUUUGUAAGUAUAUGGUUAAAGGCUGCGGCUCAACCGUAGACAUGCUGUAUAAACUACAAUGACUAGAUGGUUGUCGGGAGUAUCGGAAUUCUCGGUGGAGGGGUGAAAUCCGUUGAUAUCGAGAGGAACACCAAAGGCGAAGGCAGAUACUUAGGCAAUUUAUGACGCUGAUAGACGACAGCUAGGGGAGCGAAAGGGAUUAGAUACCCCCGUAGUCCCUGAGCGGGCUGGCAAGGCGCAU
This 451-nucleotide ribosomal RNA is filed under the name uncultured bacterium. Its description in RNAcentral is "bacterial SSU rRNA". It matches the Rfam family "Bacterial small subunit ribosomal RNA", at positions 355 to 825 of the family's 1533-position model. The record is from RNAcentral.